This 890-nucleotide long non-coding RNA is filed under the name Salvator merianae (Argentine black and white tegu). RNAcentral's name for it is "lncRNA (ENSSMRG00000008149.1)". The record is from RNAcentral. Lineage: Eukaryota; Metazoa; Chordata; Lepidosauria; Squamata; Teiidae.
CUAAAUGCUACUUAGAGAUGCAGCUGCUUUUAUGAGUGAUGCAACCCAGCUAGAGUGCAAUGCUGAAAACGCCCAUCUGUACACCUCUCCAAAGAGCUGGUGGUUGUUUCCUGAAGUGGAUGAAGAUGAAGGUUCUGUUGGCUCUGUCUUUGCUGGCCACCCUUGGGUCAAUUGAAGUCUGCUCUCUAAACUGCUUCUCAUGUACUGGACAGCCCUCGAAUGACCACUGCCUGGCACCCUUGGCAUGUCCUGUUACUNCUACCUACUGCAUGACGGUUGUCAAGAAGGCUGAGAAUGGAACAGCACGAUACUGGAAGUCAUGCGCGCCAGAGUGUACGGAAAGGAAAGAGAACAGCGUUUCCACCUUCUGCUGCCAAAAGGAUUUCUGCAACAAGGAUGGUGCAGCCAACCUUAAAGUCAGCGGAAUGUUUUUGCUGCUGGCAUUCUUGCUCGCCAGCACAUUUCUUUGGGCUGGCCCGUGAGGACCUCAGCGAAGGGUGCUUGUCUAGUUCACACUUUGCACAACAGUAAAUCUGCGUUAUGUUCGCAGGCAACACCAGUGAUAUAUGUGGUGAUGGUGGUAAAUUGCUGUCCAGGGUGCCCAAUGCCUGGGUAUCCCAAGGACACCCAUGCUGUGUCCUUAGUAGAUGGGGCAAGGGUGUGUCAUUUCCUCCCUCUGCAGAGAGGCUGAGGUUCAAGGUUGCACCCUUCUGCUUCCCAAGGCAAGAGGGAAUUGCAGAAUCGAAAGGUGAUCCUGCAGUUGCUUCUUACAAGGCAUGUGAAGCAAUAACUGGCUUACCUGGUGUGACUGCUGGCUCGUUUCAUUAUCAUCCCACUUAUAUCUACCCAGAAGACAACCAAGCAGCAGCGGCUGCUGGCUUUAAGGGCGC